GUAAAAUAAUCAGAACUAAAACCAUACCUAACUAGAAUAUUACCCCAUGAAUAUUUCUGUAAACUGUGGUUAUGAAAAGGACAUUUCUCCAAAACAAAAUACAGAGGAAGGUAAAUAAGAAAUAAUUUACAUUUCCAAGUGUUUUACUAAAUCUAUAUCUCUAUGGGAUUAUAUCUGUGUAGGAUUACUCACAGGUGUAAAUUUUAUUCAGGUUGAGGCUUCAUAUUAUUCUUGAUCGUGUCCCCUUCUUUCUUCCAUUUAUAAAUCUCUUUCUGAGGCUCAUUUCAAUGAUCAAUCUUUUUAUUAUAAAAUUUAAAGUAUUUGCUGUAACAUUAAUUAAUUUUUCCCUGCUGUAAUUAUUAGAACUGAGCAAAUAAUUCACAAUGAAUAAUUCAUCUGCUGAACGUAACCUCAUUUUCUACUUGCUGAAUAUCUGCUAGCAAAUCUGCUUUCUGGUUUAUUUGUUAAUCAAAAUCAUCUGACCACUUCUGGGGAAUAUUUUUAAAUGUGGAUUGAGCCUAAACAGCUUCCUGUGAGCUUUUGAUAUGCAGUGCUUGCAACAUGAUCUGUGUUGUUAUAGCUUCAAGGUGAAAUUCUUUACCUGGAUGAUGAGUUUUCACAGUAGCGGAGGCCCAUCUCUCAGAUACCUGUAAGACAUUGAAGGAAGACCAUCUGAGCCCACAAAAUCCAGAGACACUACAUGAAAUACUACCUGGGUCCUUUUCUUCAUUGUUGUACAAUGGGGGAGAAUAUGUUAUAGCAUAAAGAGCUAUAAGCUCGGCACAAGAAAAAGAAGAAGACAUUGGACAAUGGGCAGUAUGUCAGCGAGUUCUACCUAUUUUAUUCCACAAAAAACAACUGUUGUUAUGCUUGUUAACUGAAUUAAUGAGUUUUCCUUGAUUGACAUAAGGUUCUGGUAAGAAUUAAAAAGGAAACUGAAAUGAACAUUACCAUUGCUUUAAAGGCAAUUGAAACAAUUGCCUUCUCAUUCUCCCAAUAACCUCUGAAUAUUAGAUUUAAUAAAGUAAGGUUCCAAAAUUUUAAAUAGUGUUGU
This 1054-nucleotide long non-coding RNA is filed under the name Anser brachyrhynchus (Pink-footed goose). Its description in RNAcentral is "lncRNA (ENSABRG00000003605.1)". Lineage: Eukaryota; Metazoa; Chordata; Aves; Anseriformes; Anatidae. The record is from RNAcentral.